CUGUCCGGCGGUACCCGGGGCUACCAGGAGGAGGAGGAGGGAGCCGGAGGAACCAACAGCUCCAGGGCCCGGUUGCCGUGGAAACCGCCUCCCUCCCUUCAGGGGCCUCUGGGCUUGAAGGUCCUUCCAACUGCUUGCUGGAAAUUGAAAAUCUCUUGCUUCUGUUUGCAGCUGCACCUGACCCUUGAAAACUGGGAAAGGCAUGCUGCCAGCCUGGAACACCACACAUCCCCGGGAAGAAUACUGAGGUGCCACAAAAACCGAGAGCUGAGCUCCCGACUGUGAAAAAAGCGUGAUCGGUAUGGGAUUCCUGUCUCCAGCAAGCCACUUGCACCCCUAUAGUUCCAGGCCACUAGAAGUCCAUCCAGCGACAGAAUGCACAGUUUAAAAAGACUUCCACCAUGGUUAAUUUUCAUGUGUGAUAAUGGUAUUGUGGUUAUAAGGAGAUGAUUCUUUGUCUGAGGGAAUGCAUGCUGCCAUGUUUAAGAUUGAGUAUCAUGAUGUCUACGACUUCUUUUAAAUGAUAUAGCAAUACAGAUAUGGAAAUAGAGAGAUAUGCCGAGAUACAUAAAAAGAAAUAAAAGCAAAUAUGACAAAAUAUUAACAAUUAUG
Molecule: long non-coding RNA, 612 nt
Organism: Microcebus murinus (gray mouse lemur)
Lineage: Eukaryota; Metazoa; Chordata; Mammalia; Primates; Cheirogaleidae
Source: RefSeq, a predicted model, not a curated record